Molecule: ribosomal RNA, 209 nt
Filed under: uncultured bacterium
Lineage: Bacteria
Description: partial 16S ribosomal RNA
Rfam family: Bacterial small subunit ribosomal RNA
Source: RNAcentral
UACGUAGGGUGCAAGCGUUGUCCGGAAUUAUUGGGCGUAAAGAGCUCGUAGGCGGUGUGUCACGUCGGCCGUGAAACCUGCAGCUUAACUGUGGGCGUGCGGUCGAUACGGGCAUCACUGGAGGUUCGGCAGGGGAGACUGGAAUUCCGUGGUGUAGCGGUGAAAUGCGCAGAUAGUCAGGAGGAACACCGGUGGCGAAGGCGGUUCUC